RNAcentral lists this ribosomal RNA (194 nucleotides) under uncultured bacterium WkB38. RNAcentral's name for it is "partial 16S ribosomal RNA". The record is from RNAcentral.
AUUACCGCGGCUGCUGGCACGAAGUUAGCCGGUGCUUUCUCUAAUGGUACUAUCAUCCCUUGCCUGUAUUAGAAGCAAGGAUUUUAUCCCACUUAACAGGAGUUUACAACCCGAAGGCCGUCAUCCUCCACGCGGCGUCGCUGCAUCAGGCUUUCGCCCAUUGUGCAAUAUUCCUGACUGCUGCCUCCCGUAGG